RNAcentral lists this ribosomal RNA (365 nucleotides) under Bacillus anthracis (anthrax bacterium). RNAcentral's name for it is "partial 23S ribosomal RNA". It matches the Rfam family "Bacterial large subunit ribosomal RNA", at positions 207 to 566 of the family's 2925-position model. The record is from RNAcentral. Lineage: Bacteria; Bacillati; Bacillota; Bacilli; Caryophanales; Bacillaceae.
UACCUGGAGGAAGAGAAAGCAAAUGCGAUUUCCUGAGUAGCGGCGAGCGAAACGGAACAUAGCCCAAACCAAGAGGCUUGCCUCUUGGGGUUGUAGGACAUUCUAUACGGAGUUACAAAGGAACGAGGUAGACGAAGCGACCUGGAAAGGUCCGUCGUAGAGGGUAACAACCCCGUAGUCGAAACUUCGUUCUCUCUUGAAUGUAUCCUGAGUACGGCGGAACACGUGAAAUUCCGUCGGAAUCUGGGAGGACCAUCUCCCAAGGCUAAAUACUCCCUAGUGAUCGAUAGUGAACCAGUACCGUGAGGGAAAGGUGAAAAGCACCCCGGAAGGGGAGUGAAAGAGAUCCUGAAACCGUGUGCCUA